CUUUCAUCUAUAGGAUGGCGGGAAGGAGGAGUACUACGGGCCGCUACGAGGUUCAAUCCAAGCUCAUUUAAUCUUGUUUGUCGGUGCUUCCGGAAGAGCGUAUUUAAUCUUUCUAUAAAUAUUUAAUGAUUCUCUGCUACGCGCCUGGAGCUGCUAUAAAUGCUGAAAAAACAGCAGUGAACAAAACAGAUAAAAAUUCUUGUCCUUGUGGGGUUGAGAUUCUAGUGGAACAAGACAGAUACUAAAACCAACAGGAGCCGGCGCCGUGGCUCGCGCCUGGAAUGUCAGGUACUCCCGACGCUGAGACGGGAGGAUCACGUGAGCCCAGGAGUUGGACACCAGCCCUGGGCAACAUAGCGAAACUCUUGUCUCUACAAAAAAUUUAAAAACUAGCCAGACUUUGGCCCGGCGCGGUGGGUCACGCGUGUAAUCCCAGCACUUUGGGAGGCCGAGGCGGGCGGAUCGCCUGAGGUCAGGAGUUCGAGAUACGCCCGGCCAACCUGGUGAAACCCGGUCUCUACUAAAAAUACAAAAGUUAGCUGGGCGUGGUGGCGGGCCCCUGUAAUCCCAGCUACUCGGGAGGCUGAAGCAGGAGAAUGGCUUGAACCCGGGAGGCGGAGGUUGCGGUGAGCCGAGAUCGCACCAUUGCACUCCAACCUGGGCGACAGAGCGAGACUCCGUAUCAAAAAAAAAAAAAAAAAUUGGACGUGAUAGCGCCCACCUGUGGUCUCAGCUAGCUACUCAGGAGACUGAGAUGGGAGGAUCGCUUGAACCCAGGAGGUCGUGGCUAUAGUGAGUCGUGAUCGCACCACUGCACUCCAGGCUGGGUGACAGAGUGGUACCCUGUCUCAAAAAAAUGGUAAAUAUUUAUAGUAGUGGGUUAGGUGGAGCAAAGUGAAGCAGGGAAGAGGGGAGUCCAACUUUACAGAGGAUAGAGAAAGGUUAUCUCGUCUUUUUUAAAUUUAUUUUUGUUUUUGUUUUGUUUUGUUUUUUGAGACGGAGUCUCACUCUGUCGCUCAGGCUGGAGUGCAGUGGCGCUAUCUCGGUUCACUGCAAGCUCCACCUCCCGGGUUCACGCCAUUCUCCUGCUUCAGCCUCCCGAGUAGCUGGGAUUACAGGCGCAUGCCACCACGCCCGGCUAAUUUUUUUGUAUUUUUAGUAGAGACGGGGUUUCACCGUGUUAACCAGGAUGGUCUUCAACUCCUGACCUCAAGUAAUCUGCCCGCCUCGGCCUCCCGAAGUGCUGGGAUUACAGGCGUGACCCACCGCGCCCGGCAGGUAAUAAUUAUUGUAGGAUUCAAGGAAGAAUUACAUGUGAAGAUCCUUGUAAGUGUUUAAUACAAUAUACACACUAACCCCUCCACAAAAGGUAAUUAUUACAUAGGAGAAAAUUGAUAGAAGUAACUUGUCCACAGAUAUCACCUGUUCUAGCAAUAAGGCCAAACUUCCAGCCUGGUCUGUCAGACUCCAAAAUGGCCUUCCUCCUUUUAGAAAAGGGAAAUAUUAGCAAGCGUUGGGACCUGAGGAGAGGGAGUUUUUGUUUUUGUUCUUCUACCCUAUGUUCUCUGAUGGUAGAAUUGCAACCAAAUAAUAAUAAUAAUUGCUAGUUUAUUUGAAUGUUUACUAUGUCAUAGGUUCUUUAAAUGCAUUGAUUUACUUAAUCCGUUCAACAACCCUAUUUAUUCACAUUUCAGAUGAGGAAACUGACCUUUAGAAAGAGUAAGUACCACAAAGAUUACUUCCUGGUCCUAAGGGGUAAGUUAACUGUGCCCCGGCUCUUACCACCAUAACACCGUGGUAAAUCUUAACAUAAUGGCAGAACAACCAGAUAUUAUGUGUCUCCUGCUGGGAUGACAAUAUUAAGUAGCUACCAUCAACUAUGACUUUUUUUUUUUUUUUUUUGAGAGAGGGUCUCGCCCUGUUGCCCAGGCUGGAAUGCAGUGGUUCUAUCACAGCUCACUUCAGCCUCAACCUCCCGGGAUCAAGCAAUCCUCCCUCUUCACCUUCCAAGUAGCUGGGACUACAGGCACCUGACACCAUACCCUUGUUAAUUUUUUUAAUUUUUUGCAGAAAAAGGGUCUCAAACUCCUGACUUCAAGCAAUUUCCCACCUCAGCCUCCCAAAGUUCUGGGAUUACAUGUGUUAGUUAGCCUCUAUACCCAACAACUAUGACAUAUUAUAAAAAAUGUUUAGUAGCCACAAAAAUUAAAAAUAAUUUUUAAAAAAUGUUUAACUUAGAUCUAAUCAAGUUAACAGGAUAGUCUAUAGGAUCAGCUAAAGGAAAGCAAAAGGCAGCAAACAAAUUCUGGCAGUAGGAUGUUGUAAGGACAACUGGCCUCUUUCCUUCACUAAUUUAGGAAAAGGUAUUUUUCUAAAUUUAAAUAUUAAGAGACAUAACAACCAGAUGUAGUGUAUCAUCUACAUCUAGAUCCUAGUUUGGACAAACCAGCUAUAAAGGACAUUUUGCAGAAAAUGCCUGGGUCUUGAUGUUGCAUUUCCAGAAACCCACCUUUGUCCAGGUACCUUCAGUUGAUUUUCCUCAAGGGAAUGGAUUCAUCAGUUAUGUUGUUUAUUUUGUUUUGGUUUUUGUUUUUUUCUGAGAUACGUUUGCACUCUAGCCUGGCAACAGAGCGAGACUCCGACUCAAAUAAAAAAAAAAAAAAGUCAGUGGUGGACUGACUCCAUGAAGGCUGCAUGGGCUGGACUCCAAUACUGGUUGACUUCCAAGCUGAAUUGCUGGGCUCCAUCAAUUGGAGGCAUUUUCUGGAGAUUGGAGAGAUCAAGGAAAAAGCCAGAGUAUCUCCUACCCUGACACCACCUCCAAGCCAGAGUAUCCAUCCUCUCCCCACCCCUCAACAUCAGGCUGUCUCCUACAACCUACUUGGAUCUAACUUGUAGUAGUUGAUCCUAGACCCUGAGCUCUGGUAGCACAGUGUUGUCCUGUCCCUCUAGUGUAAGGGUGGCAGUAGCUUCUUGCUGUCACUCAUCUCUGUCUGGGCUAUUUGACUAUUCUGUUUGGCUUUUUGUCUCUGCCAACACCUGUAUAAACCAUUUAUCUGGAUUAAGUUCCCUGUGUUUUUUUUUUUUUUUUUUUUUGAGACGGAGUCUCGCACUCUCGCCCAGGCUGGAGUGCAGCGGCACAAUCUCGGCUCACUGCAAGCUCCGCUUCCCGGGUUCACGCCAUUCUCCUGCCUCAGCCUCCCGAGUAGCUGGGACUACAGGCGCCCGCCACCAUGCCCGGCUAAUUUUUUGUAUUUUUUAGCAGAGACGGGGUUUCACCAUGUUAGCCAGGAUGGUCUCGAUCUCCUGACCUCGUGAUCCGCCCACCUCGGCCUCCCAAAGUGCUGGGAUUACAGGCGUGAGCCACCGCGCCCAGCCUGUUCCCUGUGUUUUAAAGACUUAGAAUGGUUUUCCAGGUUGGACCUUGACAUAUAUGUAUAUAUACAUAUGUAUAUAUGCUCAGAGUGACCUUAUCUCCAAGUCCCAAGGGGUAUCUCCAUCAUUUCCUGCCCAUAGGCCCUGCUAUCUUGUAAAGCAGUGCUUUUCACACUUUUUCUCUGAAUGUCCAAGGCAACUGAGAGAGUUCAUUUGUCACCCUCAUUCCUCUAGGUCUAUAGCCAAAAUCCCUAGUGCCCACCUGAGCUUGAAAUGCCCUUGAAAUCUUGUGCUCUUGCGUGGUGUCCUAAAAACUCACAGUUAGUAAUCUACUUCAUAACACAUCUAUGUUGUUCUUAAGGUAUUUUACAUUUAAAAUGUAUUUUAUUUACUUAUAUUUGAAUAGGUAGUGUAUACACAUGGUAGAAAAUUAGAAAACCACAAAAAUGUUUCCUAGCCACACCCUUGUUCCCAGUUUCUUUUCUUUUUCUUUACUUCUUCUUUUUUUUUUUUUUUUUUUUUUUUUUUUUUUUUUUGAGAGAGAGCCUUGCUCUGUCGCCCAGUCUUGAGUACAGUGGCGCGAUCUCAGCUCACUGCAAUCUCCGCCUUCCAGGUUCACGCCAUUCUCCUGCCUCAGCCUCCCGAGUAGCUGGGACUACAGGCGCCCACUACCAUGGCCAGCUAAUUUUUGUAUUUUUAGUAGAGAUGGGGUUUCACUGUGUUAGCCAGGGUGGUCUCAAUCUCCUGACCUCGUGAUUCACCCAACUCAACCUCCCAAAGUGCUGGGAUUACAGGCAUGAGCCACCACGCCCGGCCUCUUUUUUUUUUUUUUUUUUUAUAGAGACAGAGUCUCACUCUGUAGCCCAGGCUGGAGUGCAAUGGUGUGCUCUUGGAUCACUGCAACCUCCACCUCCCGGGUUCAAGUGAUUCUCCUGCCUCAGCCUCCCCAGUAGCUGGGACUACAGGUGUGCACUGCCACGCCCAGCUAAUUUUUCUAUUUUUAGUAGACACAGGGUUUCACCAUGUUGGCCAGGCUGAUCUUGAACUCCUGGCCUCAAGUGAUCCACCUGCCUUGGCCUCCUAAAGUGCUGGGAUUACAGGCGUAAGCCACCGCACCCAGCCCCUUGUUCCCAGUUUCUUACAUAUCUUUCCAGAAAAAGAUUAUCCAUAUGCAAACAAAAAUAUGUUUCCUGGUUCUGUUUUACAGAUGCAUAGUAUUUCGUUGUGUAGAUGUACCUCCAUAUAUUAAUCAGUCCUUUAUUGAUGAAUGCUUAAAUUGUUUCCUGUCUCUUUCUAAUUUAGUGAUGCUGCAGUACAUCAUUAAUUCACAGACAUGCAAAUAUGUUUAUAAGAUAAAGUUUGGGCUGGGCACUGUGGCUCAGACCUAUAAUCCCAGCACUUUGGGAGGCCGAGGCGGGUGGAUCACCUGAAGUCAGGAGUUCAAGACCAGCCUGACCAAGAUGGUGAAACCCUGUCUCUACUAAAAGUAGAAAAAUUAGCCAGGUGUGGUGGCACGCACCUGUAAUCCCAGCUACUCGGGAGACUGGGGCAGGAGAAUCACUUGGACCCAGGAGGUGGAGGUUGCAGUGAGGGGAGACGGCACCAUUGCACUCCAGCCUAGGUGACAGAGUGAGAAUCUGUCUCAAAAAAAUAAAUAAAAUAAAUAAAAAAGAUUGGCUGGGUGCGGUGGCUCACACUUGUAAUCCCAGCACUUUGGGAGGCCAAGGUGGGUGGAUCACCUGAGGUCAGAAGUUCGCAACCAGCCUGGCCAACAUGAUGAAACCAUGAAAACAUGGUGAAACAUUCUCUACUAAAAAUAGAAAAAUUAGCCAGGCGUGGUGGCACACACCUGUAAUCCCAGCUACUUGGGAAGCUGAGGCAGGAGAAUCACUUGAACCCGGGAGGCAGAGGUUGCAGUGAGCCAAGACCGUGCCAUUGCACUCCAGCAUGGGCAACGAGCAAAACUCCAUCUCAAAAAAAGAAAGGAAAAAAAAAAGAUAAAAUUCUAGGAGUGAAAUUGCUAGGUUGAAGAGCUUUCUUUGCAUUUGUAAUUUUGAAAAAUAAUGCUAAAUCGCCCUUCAUUGUGGUUAUAUUUGAGAGUGCUUUUUUACCGUAUCUGAUAAAUAAAAAAUGGCAUUGUGUUAUCAUUUCUUUUUUGAGACAGAGUCUCACUCUGUCACCGAGGCUGGAGUGCAGUGGCCGAGUCUUGGCACACUGCAAACUCUGCCUCCUGGGUUCAAGUGAUUCUCAUGCCUCAGCCUCCCAAGUAGCUGAGAUUACAGGUGCACGCCACCACACCUGGCUAAUUUUUGUAUUUUUGGUGGAGUUGGGAUUUCAGCAUGUUUGCCAGGCUGGUCUUGAACUCUUGGCCUCAAGUGAUCUGCCCACUUCGGCCUCCCAAAGUGCACAGGCGUGAGCCACUGUGCCUGGCUGUAUUAUAAUUUUAAUUUGUGUUUCUCCAUAUGAAUAAAGGUGAAUAUAUUUCAUAUGUUAAAAAGUCCAAUGAGCCUGGGCAACAUGGUGAGACCCUGUCUCUACAAAAAAUACAAAUAUUAGCCAGGCAUGGUGUCACACACCUGUAGUUUCAGCUACUCAGAAGGCUAAGGUGGGAGGAUCACUUAAGCCCAGGAGACUAAGGCUGUACUCAGUCGUGAUUGUGCCACUGCACUACAGCCCAGGCGACAGAAUGAGACCCUGUCCCAAAAAAAAAAAAAAAAUAUUUCACAGAUCCUUCUUUGUAGAUUGCCUUUUUUUUUUUUCUGACAGAGUCUCACUCUGUCACCCAGGUUGGUUUGAGACAGAGUCUCACUCUGUCCCACCCAGGCUGGUUUGCGACAGAGUCUCACUCUGUCACCCAGGUUGGAGUGCAGUGGUGUGAUCUUGGCUCACUACAAACUCCAUCUCCUGGGCUCAAGUGAUUCUCAUGCCUCAGCCUCCCAGGUAGCUGGGAUUACAGGCGCCCGCCACCACACCUGGCUAAUUUUUGUAUUUUUUGUAGAGACGAGCUUUCACCACGUUGGCUAGGCUGGUGUCCUAAUUCCUGACCUCAAAUGAUCCACCUGCCUUGGCCUCCUAAAGUACUGGGAUUGCCUGACUGCCUUUUUAUAUUCUUUGCCCCUUUAUCUGUUAUAUUGUUAGUCUCAUCCUUUUUUUCUUUUUCGUUUUUCUUUUUCUUUCUUUUUUUUUUUUUUUUUGAGAUGGAGUCUCGAUCUAUCGCCCAGGCUGGAGUGCAGUAGUGGGAUCUCAGCUCACUGCAGGCUCUGCCUCCCGGGUUCACACCACUCUCCUGCCUCAGCCUCCCGAGUAGCUGGGACUACAGGCACCCACCACCAUGCUCAGCUAAUUUUUUUGUAUUUUUUAGGAGAGACAGGGUUUCACCAUCUUAGCCAGUAUGAUCUCGAUCUCCCGACCUCGUAAUCUGCCUGCCUUGGCCUCCCAAAGUGCUGGGAUUACAGGCAUGAGCCACCAUGCCUGGCCCUAGUCUCAUCCUUUUCUUAUUGAUUUGUAGAGAGCUCUUCAUAUAUUAAGGAAAUUAACUCCAUGCCUCUUAUAUGAUUUGCAGAUAUUUUUCCACUUGUUAUUUGUCUUUGGCAUUAUUUUGGGUAGUUUUUAUCCUGAAAAAAAGGUUUUAAUUUGUAUGUUGGUCAAACUUAUUUAUCUUUUCUUUUUUGACUUCUGGGUUUUAUGUCACAUGUAGAUAGGCCUUCACCUUUCUAAGAUUAUUUGUUUAAAUUCUCUCACACAUUGGCUGGGCAUGGUGGCUCACGCCUGUAAUCCCAGCACUUUGGGAGGCAGAGGUAGGUAGAUUGCCUGAGGUCAGGAGUUUGAGACCAGCCUGGCCAACAUGGCAAAACCCCGUCUCUACUAAAAAUACAAAAAUUAGCUGGGCAUGGUGGCACAUGCCUGCAGUCCCAGCUACUCAGGAGGCUGAGGCAUGAGAAUCGCUUGAACCUGGGAGGCAGAGGCUGCAGUGAGUCGAGAUCAUGCCACUGCACUCCAGCUUGGGUGAAAGAGCAAGACUCCAUCUCAAAAAAAAUAAAAAAAUAAAUUCUCCCACAUAUUUUUCUUUUCUUUUUUUCUUUCUUUCUUUCUUCUUUUUUUUUUUCUUUUGAGAAGGACCUCUAACUGCAUCUCACUGAAAGAGAAAAAAAGAAAGACAGUCUCACUCUGUCACUCAGGCUGGAGUGUGGUGGUGCAGUCAUAGCUCACUGCAGCCUUGGCCUUUUGGGCUCAAGCAGUCCUCCCACCUGAGCCUCCCAAGCAGCUGGUACUAUAGGCACAUACCACCAUGCCUGGCUAAUAAUUAAAAAAAAUUUUUUUAGAGACAAAGUCUUGCUAUGUUACCCAGGCUGGUCUUGAACUCCUGGACUCAAGUGAUCCUCCCGCGUUGGCCUCCCAAAGUGCUGGGAUUAUAGGUGUGAGCCACUAUGCCUAGCUCAUUUUUUCUGAUUCUUUUAUUAUUUUAUUUUUUUCAUGUUUAUAUCCUUUAUCCAUCUGGAACUUAUUUUAAAGUAAGGUGUGGAAGAGGGAUCUAUGCUAAUUUUUCUUUUCACAAACAUCAACCUAGUUAUCCUAGCACCAGUUUUUGAAAAUCUAUCAUUUUUCCUACCAAUUUGAAAUCCUAUUUUAUUAUAGGCUAAACUCCUCUACAUUCUAUUUAACCUCUGGGCUUUCUGGUCUGUUUCAUUGGUCUAUUGAUUUGCCUCUACCAAGUGUUUUAAUUAUUACAACUCAUAUCUGCUAUUUUAAUAUAACAGUCUAUGUAAAUUAACCAGUUGAGUUACUUAGCUUUAUCCCUUCCUAAAAAAUUCUUCCAGUAGGCCGGGUGUGGUGGCUUAUGCCUGGAAGAAAUUUUCUAGUUGCAUAUGACAAAACCCUACUUAAACCUGCUUAGGUAAAUAGGAUAUAGAGGCUCAGCAAGCUGGGACAUUGAAGGGUAGAUUUAUCCUCAGGUGUGAUUGACUUAGGGCCUGAAAUAAUGUCACUCGGUCUCUCUCCUUUUCUCAUCUCUGCUUGUUUGCUUCUCUUUGCACACUGGCCUCAUUGUCCCACGUUGCAGCCUGGUUUCCUCCACACAGAUGGGACAGCCUCAUUUAUCUCCAAACUUCCAUUCUUCUAGCACAUAAUGCCAGAAGCCAGGGAAGGACCUAAAUGGGCACACUUAUACAUCAAGAAUCCUCCUUGGUUGGGGAUGAGUAGAAAACUGUGAUUGCCAGUCCCACUUAAACCUUAGGGAGAGAAGGAGGAAUACCCAAAACUUGGGGGAGUACUGUUGUCAAAGAAGAAGUAUAAAAACGCAUCCUGGGCCCAAAAUGGUAUGUACAGCUGCAACCACUGGUCUUGCCUAACCCAGUCUGCAAAGCCUAACUCAAAGGAGGUACCAGUUUAAGGUGGUAAUUUCCAUUGUCACCACCAGAAGACUUGAGUCCUUAGUUCCAUAGUAAACUACACCUUCCUCAACUCUCCUAUAUCUUUCCACAAUGCUGAAACACAAAAAGUAAUAGUUAUUCAACAAAUGUUUACUGAGCAUUCUCUUUGUGUUCAGGUCUCUGUUGGCCACCAUUAAUAGGAAAAUGAGUAACACACUGUGCCCAUCUUCAAGUUUAGUGUGGGACAUAAGCAUUUAAACAAAGAAUUGCAGCCUUUUUUGGUAAGGACUAUGAUAAGACAACUUUAUCAAAAGGCAGUAGCACAGUGGUCAUGAGCACAGCCUCUAGAUCCAGUCUGCCUGUGUUUGAAUCCCAGUAUCACCACAAGCUGCUGCUUUGAUCUUGGGGAAGUUGCUUAACCUCUUUGUGUCUCAGCUUUCUCAUCUGUAAAAUGGAGAUGAUAAUAGUACCUCCUUCAGAGGGUCAUGGCUGUGAGGGCUGAUUAAGAUCAUUCUCUUAAAGCACUUGGCAGGGUGUGGUGGCUCAUGCCUGUAAUCCCAGCACUUUGGGAGGCCAAGACAGGCGGAUCACGAGGUCAAGAGAUUGAGACCAUCCUGACUAACACGGUGAAACCCCAUCUCUACUAAAAAUACAAAAAGUUAGCCGGGCGUGGUGGCGGGUGCCUGUAGUCCCAGCUACUCAAGAGGCUGAGGCAGGAGAAUGGAGUGAACCUGGGAGGCGGAGCUUGCAGUAAGCCGAGAUCGCGCCACUGCACUCCAGCCUGGGUGACAGAGCGAGACUCCGUCUCAAAAAACAAACAAACAAACAAAAAACGAAUAAUAAAGCACUUAGCACUGCAUGGUAAGCAUGCAGUAAUUGGUGGAUAGUGUUGGGACUGUCAGUAAGAAUAAGUACCCAAAACCUAGGUCUCUUGAAUUCCAAAUCCAGGAAUCCCUCCAAACCUCUUCAGGGUCACACAGGGGAUGAGCUGUGGAACUGGAGAGGCAUUUUUCUUCUCCCAAUAAGAUACUUCAGCUUCACUUUGUUGUUUUGUUUGUUUUUACACCUUGUUUCUACUCCAUCAUAUCAGCUUCGCUUUGUAGCCAUCGUUGGCUGUUGACUCCUCCAUCUGUUAAGCACUCUUCAGAAUCUACAAUUCUUAGUUCCAUUGCCAAACCUCAGGGCCCUGAAGUGCAGGGGAGAGGCUGAAUUCCAAAGACAGACUUGCUUCUGUACUCUGAGUGAUACUUCCAGAGCUGUUGAUCUGUUGAUGGAUGCCUCACUGAGAAAGAUCAUACCAUUGUGGCCUUCCCUGCUAACUUUUCAUUUUGAACUGAGAGCUUGUGGCCAUGAAGUGGACUCAGAAGGCUAAAACUGGAUCUUUCUAUUUGGAAACAACAGCUGGAUGUAGGGAUGUAAAAGCUCACGCCAGGCCUCCCAGGUAGGUGUAAACAUAGCUGUGGCUGGGAUGACUGUGGCUGGCAAUCUUCAUCCCACUCUACCCUGCAAGUGAAAUCGCUUGGGAGGUGACCUAGCUGCUGCUUUCCAAGGCCAUGGGUAUCUGGAGACAAAGCUUUCUCCACCUAGCCUGGGCAAAUGAGAACAACACUAAGACUACGAUGAGGAUGCCCAUCUGGCACCUACAAGGUGGUGGCAGACACCACCCAUCUUUGCCUGGCUAUGUGGGAAGGAAAUAAUUAUUCGUUAGUUCUGCUGUUACUGUCCUGGCUCCCUCACAGUAAACAAAGGGCUCACUACUGAGAAUAGAAAAGGCCAAAGUCCCAGGGCCUGGGGAACAUGUUCUUUGUUGAACCUCUUUAUUAAUCUAAAGCUGUUGGACCAACAGGUUGUGGUGUUAGGCGGAAGCUGGGCAGGCACUAAUCACUAAGGCAGAAGAACGGGUUUGGCAGGGUAGUUUUGAGUAGCAGCUUAUUGAAGAGGUGUUAUUACUCACUUUUUUAUUUUUUAUUUUUUUGAGACAAGUUCUCAAUCUGUCACCCAGGCUGGAAUGCAGUGGUACGAUCUCAGCUCACUGCAACCUCUGCCUCCCGGGCUCAAGUGAUCCUCCCACCCCAGCCUCCCGAGUAGCUGGGACUACAGAUGCAUGCCACCAUAUCUUUUGCAUUUUUUUGAAGAGACUGGGUUUCACGGUAUUGCCCAGGCUAGUCUUGAACUUCUGGGCCCAAUCUAUCUGCCCACCUCAGCCUCUCAAAGUGUUGGGAUGACAGGCAUGAGCCACCCCGCCGGCCCUAUGACUCACUCUUGAAAUGUCUUUUCUUAGAUAGAUAUGAUCUUUGGUCAGGGAGUAUUCUAUUAGCGCAGGAAGCUUUCAGUCUGAUUCUAGGGGUGGCAAGCUGGAAACAGGAUCAUGAGUGGCCUCUAUAUGGCUUCAUACUCCAGCAGAACCUGAGGUUGUGGUUGGGAAUGAGACACAUACAAACACACAAACACACCCACACACAUACGCCAUUCUGCUGCCCUAUGGCAUGUUAUCUUUUAGUGGCUUGGCUUUUACUGGGAGAGAAGGGAAACUAACAUUUAUUAAGCACCUAGUUUGUGUCAGCACUAGGCAAUGUGCUUUCAUUAUGUUAUCUGAUGGGAUUUGAUUUUGAAGCUUUUUUUACUGAUAAGGAAACUGAGACUGAAGGAGAUGAUAUAAUCUGAACAAGAUUGCAUAGUUAAUAUGUGGGAAAAAGAGAAUUUGAGCCCAAAUAGAGUCCAGCGCUUACCCACUUUCCAUUGAAUACACUGCCUGUACACCUGAGACCGCCACAGUCCAGACCCGAGUGCAACCUGCCCCAAGUAACUCCUUUGCUGCAAUGGCUGAAGCUCAUUUUUUUCACAUAGAGACUUCAAAUCACCAACAUGUAGCCCCCAGCUGGAACGCCUUCCACAUAAAAGGGAUAGCUCCCCUAAAAGGUAUAUAUUUUAUGUCUUUUUUUUUAACUUUUUUUUUUUAAGAUGGGAUUUUUAUGUUGCCCAGGCUGAUCUUGAACUCCUAGCCUCAAGUGAUCCUCCUGCCUCAGCCUCCCAAAGUGCUAGGAUUAUAGGAGUGAGCCACCACACCUGGCAGGUGUAUCUUAUUGUAUGUAAAUUAUACCCUCAUUAAACCUGACUUUUUUUUUUCUUUUUGGUUGUAAGUUUAUUCAACGCAAAAGAAUCCUCUCCAAUUUUACUGAGGUAGCUGACUAUGUCCACAACCAAAUCCGCCUCUAAACUGGAAUUCAGUUGCUGACCCAGCCCCAGACUCGGCUUUCUUGUCGGCACCAGGUGGCACAGCACUCUGUCUGUAGGUAUCUCUGUCAGCUUCCCAAUCUCCGGGGGCAGAUGAAGGUAAUCAUGGAGAUACUGGAUACCCUCAUUGGUAAGGUACCAGUAGAAAUGUCUCCAGGCAAACUGUUCCUUCACGUAGCCUCGGGACUAGAGAGACUGCAUGGCUUUCAUGACAUGAAGGUUGGGCACAUUCUUGUCUGCCAGCUCCGGGUGCUUAGGCAUGUGGACAUCCUUCUUGGCCACCAUGACUCCCUUCUUAAAAAGGAGUUCAUAAAUGGCAAUCCGGUUCUUCUUAGGCAUCAACAUCUCUGCGGCUGCAGGGGCCGGGGCCGGGGCUGGAAAAGCUAAACCUGACUUUUUAUUUUUAUUCAUGUACUGAUUUAGAGGCAGGGUCUCAUUCUCUUGCCCAGGCUGGGGUGUAGUGGCAUGAUCAUGGUUCACUGUAACCUUGAACUCCUGGGCUCAAGCAAUCGUCCUGCCUCAGCCUCCCUAAGAGCAGCAGCUGGAACUACAGUCACACCACCACAUUUGUUUUUGUUUUUUGUUUUUAGGAUUUUUUUCUCUUUUUUUGAGACAUGAUCUCACUCUGUUGCCCAAGCUGGAGUGCAGUGGCGGGAUCACAGCUCACUGCAGCCUCAACUGCCUGGGCUCAAGGAAUUCCCCUACCCUCAGCCUCCUGGGUACCUGGGACCACAGACAUGUGUCACCAUGCCCAGCUAGUUUUUUUUAUUAUUUGUAGCCAAGAGGUCUCACUGUGUUGUCCAGGCUUGUCUUGAACUCCUGAGCUCAAGCAGUCCUCCUGCCUUGGCUUCCCAAAGUGCUGGGAUUACAGGAGUGAGCCACCACUCCUGGCUGGACAUCCAGCUAAUUUUUGAAUUUUGGGGAUUAUAGGCAUGAGCCACCAUCCCAGCCUAUUUAUUUAAGUGUAGUCAAAGCAGUGAGGAAGAAGGAAAGAGUAGAACAGCCAGGUGCAGUGGGUCACACCUGUAAUUCCAGCACUCUGGGAAACUGACAUAGGAGGAUCACUUGAGCCCGGGAGUUACCAGCCUGGGCAACAUAGGGAGAUCUCUUCUCUACCAAAAAAAAAAAAAAAAAAA
This 13114-nucleotide long non-coding RNA is filed under the name Homo sapiens (human). Its description in RNAcentral is "non-protein coding lnc-C6orf106-2:2". The record is from RNAcentral. Lineage: Eukaryota; Metazoa; Chordata; Mammalia; Primates; Hominidae.